GGCGUCCCCUCCCUCCUCGCUCCCUCCUCGGCAAGUGUUCUGCCUGCAACGCCCUGAGCUCUUUUAAGACGACUGAGUGAGGUUCCGCUCACAUUAUCUAGAGGGUGUGGGUACCAGUGACAGCCAGGGACGCAUCGACAAGACGCCUUCGCAGCCGCACCCAGAGUGGAGACGGUUCGGUCACAGGGCGCGACCAGACGGUGAAAGUGACGUUGCAGACGCGACCGCGGCAGGCGCCGGGGUGGCACCCUGAGGGGAGGCUCGUGCAGCCCCCCCGAAGGGAGGAGGAUGGACUCAUGUGUGAUGAUCAGAAGACCACGCUGAUGCUGUUUCCAGUUGAUGACUGCGGGGGAGCCCAGGAAUUCCUGGCUUUGGUCAGGAUCCUUGGAGUAGAUUAGGAGUUGAGCAACUUCCUUCCCCCAUGGCCUUUCACCACGCCGUUUCUGCCAUGAAGCCAGGCAACCAUGGACUGAGCCCUCUGAACUGUGAGCCAGAAUAAACCUUGCUUCCAUUAAGUUGUCAGUGUGCGGUCUUGUGAUCUAGAGACAAGCAGGGCUGCAGCAGGAAGAGCAGCUCACUCAGCUCCUUCACAGAGGCAGGUGUCUCCUGUGUGGACCAGCUCAGAUCCCCCAGCGUGGGGCUGGACUUCCCUUGGCUUCCUGGUGUUCACCAGGGGUGGCCCUGCGCGGAUGGAGGUUGGAGAGGGUCUCAGGACUGAACCCUUUUCCUUCGCAUGCUGUGCCAGGUGCAAGUGGAGUCCUGCUCAUCAGCCUUCUCCUGUUCUGUUCCCUUUCCUUUUCAACCACAGCACCCUGAUCCUCUCCUCCAAGAUGAGAACCCACAUCCCGCACCUAGUCUCUCUGUGAUGCAUUAUUACUGCUCUUCCACUCUUUUAUGUUUUUACCAUAGUCUUAAUCUUGAGAUACAGGUUCACAAGCACUUGCUGGAAAACGAGCUUGUAUUCCCUUUUGUUGUGUCCUUCUACAGCAACAUUUCCCCAAAGCUAGAGUGUAAAACUACAGCGAGGAGAUUGGUACUGAGAGAAGCAGGAUGUGGACUAUUUCCAGCGGCAUGGGGGCCCUGUGUUGUCUCUUUAUGUUUGUUCCCACUCCUUUCAAUCCAAGUGCUCCUUGGCCAUUGGCACCACGUUUGUGUCCUGCUUCCCUGUAACACUGCAACUGCAAGAGUCUUUUACAAACAGAAUCAUGCAGCCUGUAAACUCUUAGGAAUUUUUUCCCACUCAGUGUACUUUUCUGGAGAUUCAUUCAUGUGUUGGAAGCAUCAACAGUUGAUACAUUUUACUGCUCAAUAUUUUUCUAUAAUAUGGAUAUGGUGAAAUUUGACCUUUUACCUUCUGGAAGCUAUCUGAGCUAUUUCCAGCUUUAGCUAUUUUCUAUGAAGCUCUUGUAUAUAUUUAUUUUGGCACUUUUUUAUCAGCUGUGUAUAUUUUUAUGUGAGCAUCACUUUACGGUUUUUGGAGACACUCGCUCAGGGGGUAGUUGCUGGUUGUAUGACCACUGUACAUGUAGCUUUGAGACAAAUCUGCAGCUGUCCUACUCCUCACUCCCGUCCCAGCUUAGAGGUGACCCAGUGUUGAUGCAUUAUUGCCAGCAUUUUGGUCUUGAGCUCCAGCCUUGUUCUAAGCAGGCAGGUGUCCUUGGGGCAGGUGAAUCAAGUAUCUGAAUUAUAUCCGGGCUCCAGCAGUAAGAAGCUGGCCAUGUUAUCCAGUUUCUCUCUGUCUCUGAUCCAUCAUCUGUACCAUCAGGAGAACAGUGCUUCCUUCUCUGAGUGCUUUCAGAUAUAUAUCAGUUCAUCCAUCCCUUUUUACUCGUCCAGUUUCACACACCAGGGAGACAAUACUAUGUUUGCACAUGUGACUCUGAUUUAUUCCACUUAUGAGUAUGGAC
Molecule: long non-coding RNA, 1907 nt
Organism: Chinchilla lanigera (long-tailed chinchilla)
Lineage: Eukaryota; Metazoa; Chordata; Mammalia; Rodentia; Chinchillidae
Exons: 5
Source: RefSeq, a predicted model, not a curated record